RNAcentral lists this ribosomal RNA (300 nucleotides) under Triticum aestivum (bread wheat). RNAcentral's name for it is "partial small subunit ribosomal RNA". Lineage: Eukaryota; Viridiplantae; Streptophyta; Magnoliopsida; Poales; Poaceae. The record is from RNAcentral.
AUGGAACGCAUGGCGAGCUCAUAUUUUCAGGAAGUGUUCACCAAAGAUGAGACACUUACACCUACGGAUGUGCUUGAAGGUAUAGCUCCUAAAGUGACACAGGGAAUGAAUGAUAUGUUGUGUGGGCCGUUUUCAGAGGAGGAAGUGUCUAAUGCCCUGUUUCAGAUCGGCCUGAUCAAAGCGCCGGGCACGGAUGGCUUGCCGGCUAGGUUCUUCCAGCGCAACUGGGUUGUUCUGAAGACAGAGAUUAUUACUGCAGUUUGGACUUCUUUAAGUCAGGAAAUAUGCCAGAGGGAGUGA